CGUAACAUUAUUGAAGGCGGGCUGGAACCUCUCGGGGUUACAGCCUUGCUGAAUUAUUCACCCUUGUCUUUUGCGUACUUCUUGUUUCCUUGGUGGGUUCGCCCACCACUAGGACAAACAUAAACCUUUUGUAAUUGCAAUCAGCGUCAGUAACAAAUUAAUAAUUACAACUUUCAACAACGGAUCUCUUGGUUCUGGCAUCGAUGAAGAACGCAGCGAAAUGCGAUAAGUAGUGUGAAUUGCAGAAUUCAGUGAAUCAUCGAAUCUUUGAACGCACAUUGCGCCCUUUGGUAUUCCAAAGGGCAUGCCUGUUCGAGCGUCAUUUGUACCCUCAAGCUUUGCUUGGUGUUGGGCGUCUUGUCUCUAGCUUUGCUGGAGACUCGCCUUAAAGUAAUUGGCAGCCGGCCUACUGGUUUCGGAGCGCAGCACAAGUCGCACUCUCUAUCAGCAAAGGUCUAGCAUCCAUUAAGCCUUUUUUUCAACUUUUGACCUCGGAUCAGGUAGGGAUACCCGCUGAACUUAAGCAUAUCAAUAAGCGGAGGAAAUA
This 547-nucleotide ribosomal RNA is filed under the name Alternaria alternata. Its description in RNAcentral is "eukaryotic LSU rRNA". The stretch from base 169 to 322 matches the Rfam family "5.8S ribosomal RNA". RNAcentral also lists the same sequence under 1 other name. The record is from RNAcentral. Lineage: Eukaryota; Fungi; Ascomycota; Dothideomycetes; Pleosporales; Pleosporaceae.